This 140-nucleotide small nucleolar RNA is filed under the name Jaculus jaculus (lesser Egyptian jerboa). RNAcentral describes it as "Small nucleolar RNA SNORA46 (ENSJJAG00000006084.1)". Lineage: Eukaryota; Metazoa; Chordata; Mammalia; Rodentia; Dipodidae. The record is from RNAcentral.
UGCUGUUUUAAAGUCACAAAGGCCAAAUACAUUUUCCCCAUCCUUGGUUACACUGUAAUGCAAAAGAAUUUCCAGCUCUUUCCUGUUGCACAGCUGACUUCUGCCAUUUUGUUGUUGCUUUAAGGAGUUAAGGAACAUGC